RNAcentral lists this long non-coding RNA (363 nucleotides) under Homo sapiens (human). RNAcentral describes it as "long non-coding RNA NONHSAT142432.2". The record is from RNAcentral. Lineage: Eukaryota; Metazoa; Chordata; Mammalia; Primates; Hominidae.
CUGAAUGUUGGGCACCUCAAGUUGACAUUUUGCAGUGUGGGCCCCACUGAGUGUGCUGCCCUGGCCUUUGUGCUGCAGCACCUCCGGCGGCCCGUGGCCCUGCAGCUGGACUACAACUCUGUGGGUGACAUUGGCGUGGAGCAGCUGCUGCCUUGCCUUGGUGUCUGCAAGGCUCUGUAGUGAGUGUUACUGGGCAUUGCUGUUCAGUUCUGGGGCAACAGAGUGGGUGACGAGGGGGCCCAGGCCCUGGCUGAAGCCUUGGGUGAUCACCAGAGCUUGAGGUGGCUCAGCUGGUGGGGAACAACAUUGGCAGUGUGGGUGCCCAAGCCUUGGCACUGAUGCUGGCAAAGAACGUCAUGCUAG